GACGAACGCUGGCGGCGUGCUUAACACAUGCAAGUCGAACGGAAAGGCCCUGCUUUUGUGGGGUGCUCGAGUGGCGAACGGGUGAGUAACACGUGAGUAACCUGCCCUUGACUUUGGGAUAACUUCAGGAAACUGGGGCUAAUACCGGAUAUGAGCUCCUGCUGCAUGGUGGGGGUUGGAAAGUUUCGGCGGUUGGGGAUGGACUCGCGGCUUAUCAGCGUGUUGGUGGGGUAGUGGCUUACCAAGGCUUUGACGGGUAGCCGGCCUGAGAGGGUGACCGGCCACAUUGGGACUGGGAUACGGCCCAGACUCCUACGGGAGGCAGCAGUGGGGAAUAUUGCACAAUGGGCGGAAGCCUGAUGCAGCAACGCCGCGUGCGGGAUGACGGCCUUCGGGUUGUAAACCGCUUUCGCCUGUGACGAAGCGUGAGUGACGGUAAUGGGUAAAGAAGCACCGGCUAACUACGUG
RNAcentral lists this ribosomal RNA (468 nucleotides) under uncultured bacterium. Its description in RNAcentral is "partial 16S ribosomal RNA". It matches the Rfam family "Bacterial small subunit ribosomal RNA", at positions 28 to 507 of the family's 1533-position model. The record is from RNAcentral.